RNAcentral lists this transfer RNA (105 nucleotides) under Burkholderia vietnamiensis. RNAcentral describes it as "tRNA-OTHER". It matches the Rfam family "tRNA". Rfam says of the family: Transfer RNA (tRNA) molecules are approximately 80 nucleotides in length. Lineage: Bacteria; Pseudomonadati; Pseudomonadota; Betaproteobacteria; Burkholderiales; Burkholderiaceae. RNAcentral also lists the same sequence under 1 other name. The record is from RNAcentral.
GGCGACGUAGCUCAGUUGGAAAGAGCCUUCUUUGUUUCGAUGGUUUCCGUUCGAGGGGCCAGGCGGGAAGUUUGUGUCGCGGGUUCGAGUCCCGCCGUCGCCCCA